UACGUAGGUGACAAGCGUUGUCCGGAUUUACUGGGCGUAAAGGGCGCGUAGGCGGUCGUGACAAGUCACUUGUGAAAUCUCCGGGCUUAACUCGGAACGGUCAAGUGAUACUGUCGGACUAGAGUACAGAAGGGGCAACUGGAAUUCUCGGUGUAGCGGUGAAAUGCGUAGAUAUCGAGAGGAACACCUGCGGCGAAGGCGGGUUGCUGGGCUGAUACUGACGCUGAGGCGCGAAAGCCAGGGGAGCGAACGGG
RNAcentral lists this ribosomal RNA (254 nucleotides) under uncultured bacterium. Its description in RNAcentral is "partial 16S ribosomal RNA". It matches the Rfam family "Bacterial small subunit ribosomal RNA", at positions 524 to 776 of the family's 1533-position model. The record is from RNAcentral.